GACGAACGCUGGCGGCGUGCUUAACACAUGCAAGUCGAACGGAAAGGCCCUGCUUUUGUGGGGUGCUCGAGUGGCGAACGGGUGAGUAACACGUGAGUAACCUGCCCUUGACUUUGGGAUAACUUCAGGCAACUGGGGCUAAUACCGGCUAGGCGCUCCUGCUGCAUGGUGGGGGUUGGAAAGUUUCGGCGGAUGGGGAUGGACUCGCGGCUUAUCAGCGUGUUCGUGGGGUAGUGGCUUACCAAGGCUGUGACGGGUAGCCGGCCUGAGAGGGUGACCGGCCACAUUGGGACUGAGAUACGGCCCAGACUCCUACGGGAGGCAGCAGUGGGGAAUAUUGCACAAUGGGCGGAAGCCUGAUGCAGCAACGCCGCGUGCGGGAUGACGGCCUUCUGGUUGUAGACCGCUUUCGCCUGUGACGAAGCGUGAGUGACGGUAAUGGGUAAAGAAGCACCGGCUAACUACGUG
This 468-nucleotide ribosomal RNA is filed under the name uncultured bacterium. RNAcentral's name for it is "partial 16S ribosomal RNA". It matches the Rfam family "Bacterial small subunit ribosomal RNA", at positions 28 to 507 of the family's 1533-position model. The record is from RNAcentral.